RNAcentral lists this small nuclear RNA (158 nucleotides) under Vigna radiata var. radiata (mung bean). RNAcentral describes it as "U1 spliceosomal RNA". It matches the Rfam family "U1 spliceosomal RNA". Rfam says of the family: U1 is a small nuclear RNA (snRNA) component of the spliceosome (involved in pre-mRNA splicing). Its 5' end forms complementary base pairs with the 5' splice junction, thus defining the 5' donor site of an intron. There are significant differences in sequence and secondary structure between metazoan and yeast U1 snRNAs, the latter being much longer (568 nucleotides as compared to 164 nucleotides in human). Lineage: Eukaryota; Viridiplantae; Streptophyta; Magnoliopsida; Fabales; Fabaceae. The record is from Rfam by way of RNAcentral.
AUACUUACCUGGAUGGGGUUAGAGUGAUCAUGAAGGCUCAUAGCCUAGAAUAGUGACCUUCAUUGCACCAGGAAGGGGUGCUAUUUUAAGGUCUACCCUAGAGGUGGAGCCUACAUCAUAAUUUGUUGCAGAGGGGACUUGCGUUCGCACAGUCCCUA